This is an RNA transcript of Cucurbita maxima (winter squash), 2684 nucleotides long. RefSeq lists it as uncharacterized. Lineage: Eukaryota; Viridiplantae; Streptophyta; Magnoliopsida; Cucurbitales; Cucurbitaceae. The record is from RefSeq and is a predicted model, not a curated record. The transcript has 4 exons.
AAUUCCGUUUACGUUCGCUGAGUUUGGCGGGUUUUUUUCUUCUUUGUUCGCGCUCUCAUGGAGAUGGAAUACUCUCCUUGAAACUAUGCAGAAAAUCCUUGUAUUACUUACAAAUUACUGGCUCGCAACUUGAAGAUUUGGCAGGAUACAGCUUAGCGAAAUCUAUGGUAUUGCUGGUGGUAUAAAGUUGAGGCUGAGUAUGGUAACUGAAAUAACGGUGACAUAGUCAAGGAAUCGUGUGGGAGGUCCUUUUUACGGAUGUGCGAGGAUCAAACAUCCAAUAUUCUAGAAUUCAGAUGCACGAUUUCUCGGCUUCGCAAUGCUCAACAUGGACUAGGGAGCUGUUAGCGAUCAGGCGUCUGCCAGAACUUGUUCUCUGAACGGCUGGCCUCUAUUACAAUACAGCGAAUCCUGGUUAGUUUAUUUCCUUCCUCCCCACCCUCUGUUUAUAUAUCUGUCUGUUUUGAAUCAGAGCGCUACAAUUUGCUAGCUCUUUUUGUAACCUUUUAAAACAGGCUAUGCAUGAAAUUCCUGCAAGAGACAAAAAGCAUGAGAUGCAGUAGCAGCUUACAAAGUGAGCAAUUCUUAUCUUUCUUUUCCAAUUCUCGUGUUAUAUAUCCGUUUCCCUUAUAACCGAUAGAGAAAAAUCAGCAAAAGAAGAAACCAAAAUUAUUCGAGAGAGGAAGUGAGAAGCCAGGACAUGUCCGGAAGAAGGAUGAUGAAAGAAGAGGAACCUUUCAUCAUCAGACUCCAUACCUUUCAAAGGGAACCGAAUCAGACAAAAGCUUGGGGGUAAGAAAAGGAUGUUACUUUUGGGGGGAAAAUAUAGAAUUAAAAAAAAUUAAAAAAAGAAACCAGGAAUCUCACUGUACAUAUUGCCUUUUAGGCCUCUAAGCCCCCACUUUUCAUCAUUCUUUCACCGCUAAAAUGAUUAUUCAUAUUUACUAUCCCAACUAAAAGUCUUAAAAGACACCGCUCUGCCCGAACUGAACUGGAGAGAGGGACAUCACUUCUGCUAGAAAACCACACUCAAAAAAGAAGAUGAAAUUUUUUGGAUUAUCCUCCCCUCUUGUAUUGGAAUAUUGACCCAUGUCUCUCUCUCUCUCUUUGAAAAUUACAAAGAAGCUUCUUCCUUUCCUUUCCAUUCCUUUUGUUCACUCAACUUUCGUUUUCUUCUUUUCUGCACAAAUAUGCGGGAUAUUGAUAUUAUAAAUUCUAAUGUAUUUUCAUGGGUCAGUCUUAUUGGACUUGGGUGUUACUUUAAUGUUGAGAUGAUGCAGCCCAUUGACCUUUUUCCAUGUUCUGUAAUCUUUUUGACUUUUCAGCUGGUCAAAAUUUUCAAUUCAAAUAAACAAUCAAGGAUAUUGUUUUCUUUGUACUGUCCAAGUAAAAUUGUUUUACUGUCUCCUGUUCAUUUUAGAUUCUCAUCUUCUUGACCAUAAGCUUGAUUAGAUAUUUUUGCAAUAAAAAGAUUAUAACAGAUUUAAUAAUAGUCCAUUUUUAGUAUUAAUUAUUUUAUUGGCUUCUCAUUUCUUUUUUGCCCUUUCAUUUACCUGUUGAUGGUUUUUACUUUGUGGAGGAUUAAAGAAAAAACUGGAAGCGAGAAGCAUGGAAGGGUUAAAAGCUGUUCGACGAAAUGCCUCAAAGAACUAUUUUGCAGUCAAGGCUGGUUUUUCAACCAAGUUUGUGGGCUAUGGGAUGCGGAUGGUCCAAGAUGUUGUACACAGCUUCAUUACAGCAACUACUUUUGGUGUAUGCCAAAUUGUCAAGUGAGUUUUCUUGUUCUUUUUCUUUUUAUAAAUGAAAAAAAGGUUAUGGAGUCCAACUACAAAAUUGGGUGAUGGGUCAGAGCCGAGGGUGGAAUGAGUAGAAGGAAUCAUAAACCGUACAAAAAAGUAGGCUGUUUGAACUUGGAAACCCAUUAAAUCUUUUGCUUUUGUUAGGCUGUUUGUAGGGCCAGAUUAUGAGAGGUUUCUGUUUCUGAUUUGGAGUGGCUGAGGGCUUGAAGGGCGUAGGCCCAGAGGAGAGCCGCAAGCAAUCAUUGCUUGUUUUGGAUGCUGCGGCUGAGAGGCUGUGUUCUUUCUGUUCUGAGUUUGAUGGACUUUCAUGGUGGGAAGAAGACAUAAAAGAAAAGAAAAAGUUGGUUUUAGUUUAAAUGCCACUGAUCAAAAGGUGAUUGCCGGCGCAGCAAUUGCAUAACUAUGAAUUUAAAGGGGGAAAAGUAGAAAACCUCAUAUUGUUUAAUGGGUUUAAUGUUUGAUGCUCAAAUUAUUGAUCUAAUGAUGAUAUAUUUUAGAACGUCCGAAUCAUUGGUAAUGCAACAAGUUCGAGAAACUGCAAGUUGAAUCAAAAGUUUGAGAGUGUAGUUAUAGCAUCGUUCAUGGUGUACGAAAUUUGAAAUUGUGUCGGAGUGUCGAAUUGUAUGCUAAAAGAACAAAGUAUGCACGAUGCGAUUGGGGGUCGGGUGGGUGGGUUGCUUUAGGGAGUGAGUGAUGAGCAAUGGAAUGGAUAGAUAUUAAUAUGGUUUGUGGGGUUUGGCAUGUGCUCCCUUUACUUUGAAAAUAAGGGAAAAAAAAAAAAAGAAAAGGAUAAGAACUAUGAGAUCGUUAGUUGGGGAGUAGAACGAAGCAUUGUAAGGACAUUGGACUUCGAAGGGUCAGUUGGGGAGUAGAAUGAAGCAUUGU